This 249-nucleotide ribosomal RNA is filed under the name uncultured bacterium. RNAcentral describes it as "partial small subunit ribosomal RNA". It matches the Rfam family "Bacterial small subunit ribosomal RNA", at positions 26 to 280 of the family's 1533-position model. The record is from RNAcentral.
AGGACGAACGCUGGCGGCGUGCUUAACACAUGCAAGUCGAGCGGAAAGGCCCUUCGGGGUACUCGAGCGGCGAACGGGUGAGUAACACGUGAGUAACCUGCCCCUAGCUCUGGGAUAGCUCCGGGAAACCGGGAUUAAAUACCAGAUACGACCACUUUAGACAUCUGUCGUGGUGGAAAGGAUUCCGGCUAGGGAUGGGCUCGCGGCCUAUCAGCUUGUUGGUGGGUAACGGCCUACCAAGGCGACGAC